This is a long non-coding RNA of Marmota monax (woodchuck), 8717 nucleotides long. RefSeq lists it as uncharacterized. The record is from RefSeq and is a predicted model, not a curated record. The transcript has 10 exons. NCBI's taxonomy places the organism in Eukaryota, Metazoa, Chordata, Mammalia, Rodentia, Sciuridae.
UCCUGGGGCCGCCCGUGAGGAUGUCGCGACCGCCCCCCUGUGCCCCUCAGCCCCGGAGACGCCGCCGCGGCGAAGCCCGCACCCCCCCUGUCUGAGGUGUCUGGGCCCGGAUCCGGCCUCUCCCCUCCGCUCCUUAACCCAGGUGCGGGCCGGGCAGGCGGCCGCGGCAGGUGAGGAGGCGGCCGCGGCAGGUGAGGAGGCGGCCGCGGCAGGUGAGGAGGCGGCCGCGGCAGGUGAGGAGGCGGCCGCGGCAGUAAUAAAAGGAUCUGUGAGGCAGUGUCCCGGAAAACCUUCAUGAAGAGGGACUUUGAAGACAUUCAACACAUCACUGUGGAUGAAGCUCAGAAUUUCCACACUGAAAAUGGGGACUUAUAUGGGAAGGCAAAAGCCGUCACUCAGAGGGAAAAGGAAGUCCAGAAAUUCUCUGGAACUUUCUGAACCAUUUUCAGACCAGCCGCUUGGAUGUUAGCGGUCUCCCUCCUCUUUCAUCCCAGUAGCUAAGAGCUCACCAGAGUGAUCCCCAAUGCAGAUGAAGUCGCCCAAUACCUACCAGAAGUGAUGAAGGUCAUUAGAAGAAAACCACCAUGCAACAUCCCCCAUGGGUCCUUGGAGGUGCUUAUGAAAGCCGAACAACUUCGGGGUUCUAAGGAACUAUGCCAAUUGAGAGAGAGAUUAGAAAUGUGAGCCACUGCAUCUGCAUUUUUUCCUGAAUUCUUGAAAUUUGUCUUUGCUCUAUUGAUUCAGGACAUGGAAGAUUCCCGAGAUAAUUCAGUCACUGAAUUAUCUCAAGCAUUUUGGCAGAACAAAGAGCACUGGUAUGGAUAUGUAAGGUACUUCAGUUGCCCUUUUUCAGAGAAAUUUUAGACCAAGAGAAAGCACACAUACACACCUCUUUUUUUUUUUCUGGAUUUCAACAGGAGAUUGUAUUAUGGAACAGAAUCAGAUUCUACAGGUGUGUAUAAGCUCCUAAGGAACAGGAAUAGGAAAGAAAGUCUUUUAAAAUCUACAAGUCUUCUGGGGAUGUCACUUCGUGGAGUCUUAUUAAGGAAUUUGGGGCCUGCCCCCACGAGAUGAAGAUGAGGACCAACUUUAUCUUCUAUUAGACGCAGAGUCUCUGGUCUGAUUCCUCAGUCUGCCGUCUUGAAAGGAGUCUUAUUAAGGAAUUUGGGGCCUGCCCCCACGAGAUGAAGAUGAGGACCAACUUUAUCUUCUAUUAGACGCAGAGUCUCUGGUCUGAUUCCUCAGUCUGCCGUCUUGAAAGCCUGACCGUGCAGAACCCCUGAAGCUCUCCUGGGAGGAACCAUCACCACCUUCAGAAAGGCCACCUUGACUUUGGUCACUUUACAGGGGACGAAAACCAACUCUGUUCUUGGAGCCACGAGGGCCACUCCUUUAAGUGCCAAAAGGCGCCCCCUUACAGGAACCCUGAAUUCCACCUCGGAGCAUCAAUACCUCCAUGAACCAGGCUGCAUAUAUUUACAGAGGGAAUCAUAUCACCCAUUUCCCUGGUGGUAAAGGGAGAAGAUGACCAAGGCUCAUCAGUGGAUGUGUCCUGUCUUGUGGAAACCCUCACAGUACUUCUCUGGGAGCUCGAGGACGGCCUGGUGCCUGCCCUGCAGCAGGGGAACACCCCCUAUGUCCAUGGGGUUUUGUAUUUGUACCAAGAUUUGGCCAGUACCCAGAAGGCUCUGGAGCUGCUGGGUAAAAGGUAUGGACGCCUCCAGCCAUAUGUUGAGGAGGAGUACCUUCAAGACAAGAAAUCAUGACUCACCAGAGUAAUUAACUGGUCUAACAAUAUUGAAGUUAGACCAGUUAAUUACUCUGUAAUGGACUGAAGAGUUGGAAUAAAAGGAAGAGUUCCAAGUUUUGCAUUCCAAAUAGAAAGCUGUGCCUUGGGCUGGGCUGUAGCUCAGUGGCAGAGUGCUUGCCUAGAAUGUAUGAGGCACUGAGUUCAAUCCUUAGCACUACAAAAAACAAAACAAAACAAAACAAAACAACUAAACAAAGAAAGGCAUGCUGUUGAUCUAAAACUAUUAAAAGAAGAAAGAAAGAAAGAAAAGAAAAAAAAAAAGCUGUGCCUCUUGAAUAAUUAGUCCCAAUGAGAAUGCAAGGGAAAUGUUCAUAAAGAAAAUUAAAGUGCUGCUCCAGGGCAUAGGUGAAUGAUAAGAAAGCAAAACAGCUGAUAGGGAUAAAGUUUUCAUAGUCUGGAGAACAGGUGAAACAAGCCACGUUCCCUUAAGCCAAAACCGCAUCCAGAUAAGGCCAAAACAUUAGAUUUUUCUGAUGCCAAGAGAAGGGAGAAAGCUCCAGAAGAAGUCUGAAGGUGGCAGAAUUUGGUUCAUGAUGUUCGAAGCAAGCGGCCCAUCUCCAUAUAAGACAAGUGCAGGGUGAAGCAGCAAUUGCUGAUGUAGAAGCUACAGCAAGUCAUGAAGAAGAUCUUGCUAAGCUAUCUGAUGAAGACGCGAUAUGGUUGAGUUUCUCGGUGUCCCCCAAAAGCUCAUGGGUGAGACAAUGCAAGAAGGUUUAGAGGGGAAAUGAUCCUGUUAUGAGAGCCUAAAGCCAAUUAGUGAAUUAAUCCCCUGGCAGGAUGAACAGGUGGCACAGAUAAAAUGGGGUGCCCACACCCUCCCCAAGCCUGGAGGUGUAGGCGCCACCUGUGGAGGAGUCCAGUUGCAGUGUGGAAGUGAAGAGCAGCCACCCUCAACGUUCCACAUUAGGGUUCCACAUUGGAGGUUCCCAGCAACCAGCGGCAUCCCUCUGCGGGCAGGUCGUUCAUCAGGGAGCCUAGGCGCCCUAAGGCCCUUUGGGGAGUCCAGUUGAAUCGGUGGCUGCAUGGAAAUAGGCGUCCAAAUAGGAGCAUCCUCAUCCAUUGGCGGUGGCGGGAGUCUGCUUCCAGUGCAGUGGAGGUGUUGGCAGCAUUUCUGGUGGCCAGGUCGGGACUCCAGUGGCCACAGUGUGGAGCACUGGCUGUGGCGACAGCGACAGCGUAGGGCAGCGGGCCUCAGAGUCAGAGGGCGACCAGAGGAUGGGGUGCCCUGUGCUGUGGCUGCCCCAGGCCACUUGUCUUGCUCCUGGCAGGGCCUGCCUGCUCAGGAAGCAGGACACGGCAGGCGGCGGUACCCACACAGCCUCUGAGGACCUUAUGCUGAGCACGCAGGCGGCGCCUGGCACCGGCACUGAGCCCCCCGGGUGGCAGCUCGCCCCACCCCGAGUUCGCCCUGCCCCUCCCUGGGUUGCGGCCUCUGCGGGGGAAGUAGGCCCGCUGCCAGCCGGGGCAGCCUUUAAAGAGGACACCCACCCUCCCCAGCGACAUCUCUCCUGGGCUGUGGCCACUGAGAGCAGAGGCAGUGGGGGGUGGGGCUACAAAUCCUCCCCCUCAAAACGCAUCCCUGGGGCGGGACAAGGGUGGAGGGCAUAGAUGGCAGAGGGAACCCCAAGACGUGCUGUCCUUGGUCUUGGUCUUCUGCCACCCUUAGACACAGAAAUGUACUUUAAAAAAAUUAAUUAGCUGUAAUUAGUUGUACAUAACAGCAGAAUUCACUUUGGUUCAUUGUACAGAAAUGGAGCACAGCUUUUCAUUUCUCUGGUAGAACACGAUGUAGAGUUGCACCAUAUGUGCAGUCCUGCAUGUACCUAGGGUAAUGAUAUCCCUCUCAUUCCACCCUCUUUCCUACCCCAUGCCUGUCCCUCCUAUCCUUCCCCUUUGCCCCAAGUUCCUCCAUUCUUCCCUUGCCCCCCUCAUUAUGGAUCAGCAUCCACUUAUCAGGGAGAACAUUCAGCCUGUUGUUUUUGAGGAUUAGCUUUUUUCAUUUACAUAACUGCCGCCAGACUGCGGCAGUUGCUUGUAUUCUUGUUAACUGCCAUUCUGGCUGGAGUAAGAUUGUCUUAGAGUAGUUUUGAUUUGCAUUUCUCUAAUUUCUGGUGAAGUUGAACAUAUUUUCAUAUAUUUGUUGAUCGACUGUGUAUCUUCUUCUGUGAAGUGUCUGCCCAUUUCCUUAGCCCAUUUAUUGAUUGGGGUAUUUAUUCUUUGGAUGUUGACGUUUUUGAGUUUUUUAUAUAUCCUGGAAAUUAGUGUUUUAUCUAAUGUGCGUGUAGUAAAGAUGUUCUCCCACUCUGUGAGCUCUCUCUUCAUAUUAUUGUUUCCUUUGCUGAGAAGAAGCUUUUAAGUUUGAAUCCAUCCCAUUAUUAAUUCUUGAUUUUAUUUCUUAAGUACAGGGUCUCUGGUCUAAUUCCUAGGUCCUUGAUCUACUCUGAGUGUUUGUGCAAGGUGAGAGAUCGUGGUUUAAUUUCAGUCUGCUACAUAUGGAUUUACAGUUUCCCCAGCACCAUUGUUGAAGAGGCUAUCCUUUAGCUAAUGUAUGUUUUCGGCACCUUUGUCAAGAAUGAGAUAACUACAUUUAUGUGGGUUUUUCUCUGUAUCUUCUAUUUUGUACCAUUGGUCUACAUGUGUAUUUUGGUGCCAAUAGCAUGCCGUUUUUGUUACUACAGAUCUGUAGUAGUUUAAGGUUUGAUAUUGUGAUGUCUCCUACUUCACUCUUUUUGCUAAGGAUUGCUUUGUCAAUAAGGAUUUCUCUGUGUCUAUUUUUCCAAAUGAAUUUCAUGAUUACUUUUUCUAUUUCUAUGAGGAAUGUUAUUGGGAUUUUAAUUGGAAUCACAUUAAAUCUGUAUAAGGUUUAUGAUAGUGUGGCCAUUUUGACAAUAUUAAUUCCAUGAGGGAGGAAUUGGAAUCAGGUACCUGCUCAAAAGGGGAGGGAUCCGAUAGCCACGCCCACCUCAAAAUGGCAAGGAAUGCUUUCCAAGAUGUAGUGGGUGUGCUUCCAGAGCCGGGUGUCUGGUGAUGUCAGGGGAACCGAUGGCCUUGUGCUGUGGGGAGGUAGCAGCUGAGUGACCUGCAUGGGAGUGGAGUGAGUCUCGGCCUUCUGCAGAUGUGUUGGUAGGUGGUUCUGCUAAGGCGCUGGCCAAGUCUUAAGUGAACUGCAACUUUGGCUUUGGGUCCUGCUCGGACACUGAGGCCCUGAGUCCUGCGCGAGGUCACAGCGCUGGUCAUUUCUGUAGAGAGAAGCUGUAAAGGGGCCUCUAACACUCUCAAGAGAUGCAGAAUUCCUACUAGGAGAGAUCUGGAUCACAGAGCAACACAGAUGCUGCUUCCCUCUGGUCCGCCAUCUUUGAAAGUCUUUUCAAUUUCUUUCUUUAGUUUUCAUUGUAUAGGUCUUUCAUCUCUUUUGUUAAAUUUAUACCCAAAUAUUUCAUUUUUGAGGCUAUUGUGAAUGGGAUAGUUUUCCUAAUUUCUCUUUCAGAGGGUUCAUCACUAAUAGAUAGAAAUGCAUUUGAUUUAUGAAUAUUGAUUUCAUAUCCUGUGACAUUGCUGAAUUUGUUAAUAUUAGAAGUUUUCUGGUGGAGUUUUUUUUGGAUCCUCUAUGUGUAGAAUCAUGUCAUCAGCAAAUAGGGAUAGUUUGAGUUCUUCUUCCCCUAUUCCUAUCCCUUUAAUUUCUUUCAUCUACAGCUCUGUCGUGUAGUCUAAGCUGUAGUGGAGUUUAAACAGCAGUAUAGUUUAAACUCUGGCUAGAGUAUCAGGGACUAUGUAGAGUAGAAGGUGAGAGAGGGCAUCCUUGUCCUGUUCCAGUUCUGAGAGGAAAUGCUUCCAAUCAGAAAUGCACUUUGAGGAUGAAGAGGUCCUAGUUCCUCUGCUCUCUCCCCCCACAGCCCAGGUGGGAUGUCUCUGAGGAAGGUGGGGGUCCUCUCCCAAGGCUGCCCCACCUGGCAGAUGGCCUAGUUCCCCUGCAGAGGCCACAUCGGGGAUGGGGCGAGCAGCCACCCGGUGGGCUCAUGGCCAGUGCCAGGCGAGGCAGGUGUGGGCAGCCUAAGGUCCUCAGCAGCUGCCUGGGUAUUGCCACCCCCCUCGUGCUGCUUCCUGAACAGGCCGAUCAGCCAGGACCAAGACCCAGGGCCUGGAACAGCCACUGCAGAGGCCAUUCCAGCCUCUCGUCGCCCUUCCACUCUGAGGCUCACUGCCCUGCGCCCUCGCUGCCGCCACCAGCCUGGAGCUCUUCACUGUAGCCACCGGACUCCCCACAUGGUCGCCAGAUGCCACUGCAGCAGGAUUCCUGUUACCCCAGCAGGAUGAAGAUGCUCACCACUGGACGCCUCUGUGUCCUCAGCCCCGUUUCCAGACUCUACUGGUGCUGCCGCCACCGUGCAGCAACCAAACUCCCAAACCCCAGCUGGACUAUGAUGCUGCCCACCAAGGGCCCAACGUCAAUGCCCUUCACCCCCCGCCAUGAUGCCUGACUCCAGUGCCCCAUGCCGGCUCCCGGAUGAAGCUGCAUGUUGCUGCUGCCACCACCAGACUCCAUCAUGGACGCAAGACAGCGAUACUCAGCACUGGAUGCCCACUUCACCCACUGCAGUCAGACUCCUGUGGCACUGCAGGACAGAAAUGAUCAUGGCAACAUCCCUCUGUUGUCACCACAGCAGCUUCUGGACUCUUCUGCUGCCACCACCGCUGUGAGUAUGCAGCAAGGGAUCUCCCAAACUGCAGCUGGAUGCCAACACCUCAGCUGUUGCCACCCCCAUGCCAACUCUCAACUCCGGACCUCCCUCGCCUGAUGCCCUACGCCUGAAGCAGCUACAUGUUGCUGCUGCUGCCACCAGAUGCUACCACUCCAUGAGGCCUCUUCAGUGAUUCCAUCCCAAAGAUGCUGCUGUGCUGCCCAAGACCACAGAAGCUGGGAAGUUGGGCAGUCUCCAUCGCAGUCGCCUCAUCAGUGCCCACCGCUUGCCGCCUGCCUUUCCUCCCCCAGGACCACCCACCAGUCCUUCUGGGCCCUUGAGCAGGAGUUGUGCUGACUCAGGGAACUCAUCCAAGGAAAAUAACUGACCAUCAGGAAGAAGGAAACACCAGAGAAGCUUGAGGAUCAGAAGGACACUAGCCCUGCUCUGGUCACCCUGGAAGCUGGCUAGCCUGCACCCACCAAAGCCUGAGGAAACAGCAGCCCUGCUUCAGCCACUUGAGGGCUGGCUGAUCAAUGCAAGGAGGAAAAUAAACUAAGCAACAGGACAAAUGGACUGUUUCAUCCUGUAAGAGGGCUCUCAUACUGUGGUGCAUUGCCACCCCUUACUUCUGUCAUAUACACAGUCCUCUCCUUGGUCUUUACUACAGGACUGACAACCACCAAACACAUAGCUAACCCAUAAUGGGGGGCGGGGCAAGGGAAGAUGGGAGGGACUUUGGAUUGGGCUGAGGGGAGUGUGGGAGGGGAGGGGAUAUGGGAGUGGGAAGGAUGGUGGAAUGAGGUGGAUUGUAUUAAUCUAUGUACAUGUAUGAUUGCAGGAAUGGGGUGACUGUGCACUGUGUCUAACCAGAGAAAUGAAAAGUUGCCUCCAUUUGUGUUUAAUAGUCAAAAUGCAUUCUGCUGUUAAAUAUAACUAAUUGAAAAAAAAUUCAUAAAGGUCUAAGGCUUAAAAGGAAGUUUAGACACUUUAAUGGUCAUAAAAAUAUAUACAUUUUUCUUGUAUAAAAUUUAAACUUAUUAAUUAAAUUGAAAAAAAAAGCCAACUAGCACAUGUACUAGUUCAAACCUGAAAGGGCAUUAAGGCUUGGGAACCAAGCUCACUCUUUGGAGGAUGGUUUUUCUAUUCUUGGUGGAUUCAAAAGUUUAAUUGACAUAGUAUGGAUGAUGCUAUUGUUUAUUGCUUUCAUAUUUGUCUCCCCUUUACAAUGAAACUAUUGGGUCAACCAUAGAAGCAGCUGUUAGAGGGGGGAGGGUGGGAGGAGGGAAACACGGAGGGAGAAAUUAAGAUUAUGGCAUUAUAUAAAAUUUUAAGCCUAGAAGAUGAUGUUUUUUGAUUUAAAGGGUUAAAUAAUGAGCAUAGAGGGGGUAACGAUGUAUCACAAAUACUCCAAAUGAUGUAGUGUCCAAAAGAUCCCCACCUUAAUUGGAAUAUAUAAGCCUUUCUCCUAGUAAACAAGAUUUUUUUUUUUUUUUUUGAAGUCAACAGGAUUUCUAGAGAGCUCAUUGUGGUUUAGCUCCUCUUUAUUGUAAAGGUCAGGUUUCUCUUUCUUGUAAAAGUUAGGUCUGCAGGGCUGGGGUUGUGGCUCAGUGUUAGAACACUUACCUAGCAGGUGUGAGGCACUGGGUUUGAUUCUUACACCACAUAAAAAUAAAAUAAGGUAUUGUGCCCAUCUACAAUUUUAAAAAAAAGUUAUGUCAGCAAUCAAACUUGUUGAUGUACAAAAGUUAAAUCUUGUGAAACCUCUGUCCAAUCUAAGAACAUGGAAGAAAAAGUAACUAUUAUGUUAGCCAUUGUGUUGUGUAACCAUUCACUGAGUAGAAGUCCCAGAGAGCUUCCAUACCUGGGGUCCAGGGAUUUUUUGGCAUUAGCCCCUCUGGAUUACACCAGCUUAAAUAAACCUUGUUCCUGCACAUUUCUCAAGUGUCCAGCCUCCUCUGUCCUACAUCAAUACCUGCUUGAAAUGCUAGAAUGUCCCCAUUCUUGAAGGACACUCAGAGACAGUCUCUCUGGCUCUGCCACAGUAUGAAUUCUAUCCAAAGAUAUUAAUCACAAAAAACUAAAGGGAGAUUACACUAUAGUGACCUCCUGGGGGGAGAUUCAGUGUUGCAUGAUGAAACUUGUAUACAUAUAUUGUAUUGCUAUGAUAUACCCUGUAAAGUAUAGAAAUGAUACAUCUGAAUAAACAUGUUUUGUGAGAAAUUGAA